UCUUCGAUGGUCUAGUGGUCAUGAUUUCCGCUUGUCAUUUGGGCUCAAAUAUCAAGCGCGGGAGACCGGGGUUCGAUUCCCCGUCGGAGAG
This 91-nucleotide transfer RNA is filed under the name Neofusicoccum parvum UCRNP2. It matches the Rfam family "tRNA". From Rfam's summary of the family: Transfer RNA (tRNA) molecules are approximately 80 nucleotides in length. Their secondary structure includes four short double-helical elements and three loops (D, anti-codon, and T loops). The record is from Rfam by way of RNAcentral. Lineage: Eukaryota; Fungi; Ascomycota; Dothideomycetes; Botryosphaeriales; Botryosphaeriaceae.